This 1382-nucleotide long non-coding RNA is filed under the name Salmo salar (Atlantic salmon). RNAcentral describes it as "lncRNA (ENSSSAG00000088543.1, ENSSSAG00000119044.1, ENSSSAG00020054492.1, ENSSSAG00075047390.1)". Lineage: Eukaryota; Metazoa; Chordata; Actinopteri; Salmoniformes; Salmonidae. The record is from RNAcentral.
GACAAUGCCAAAAUAAAUGUGGAACUGUUUCUGGAUGCUUAACACAAAAGGUACAAUUAAUGUUAAUGUAUUUUUUAAGUUUCUUCAGGUAAUGAUUCGCAGGGUAAUACUUAUGGAUCAUUCUGAAAGAGACCUCUGACCUUGUUAAUAAGCUCUGCCCUCAAGUUAAGCGGACACUUCAGAUGACGUCUGAUGAGUUGACACUUGCAGGGCAUGGGAAGAACGAAUUUGUUUUAAAUGGACCGCCCUUGCCUGGAAAUGUGUCACUUGUUCGUCCCACGGUUGUGUUUUCAGUCAUCAUAGAACCACCGGUAGCUGUUGUGUGUGCUUUAUACACUACAGUAAAUUAUGAUUGCAUUUCCUAUCUUGGCUAAAAGACAACGCAUCUGCAGACAUCGAAUGCUAGCCAUCCGACAAAAUCUGGUAAAUCUAAAAUUACAAUGUGCCCGGGAGUGAACACUCGCAACCUCGAUCACAAACGAGGGCUGAGGGGCUUACGUUGCCAACUUCCCUUGUUUGGCUAAUUGUUUGGACCGACGGCAAAGAUGGCCGCGGGGAUUCCCCUAGGGCAUAUGGCAGGGGCACUGAGGCACUGUUCCAGAUGGUCUUCAGGCGCUAUGGCCUUCUGGAGGAAAUCGUCUCCCACCGUGGCCCCCAAUUCACGUCAUGGUUAUGGAGAGGCUUCAUGGAGAAGCUGGGUGUCACGGUCAGCCUCACAACCGGGUACCGCCCUCAGUCCAACAGGCAGGUGGAAAGGAUGAACCAGGAGCUGGGGAGGUUCCUUAGGAGUCACUGCCAGGAUCUUCAUGUUUCUUAUUAUUAAACUCACCUUCUGCACCGGCUUGAAUUAUUUAGGCUAAAUUAUUAUUAUUUCAAUGCUAUAGCCUACCAUUUAAGAAAUCAAUUAUGAAGAGUUUGUGACACACUACAGGCUGUAACGAGCGCUCAGCAUUUCAACAACACAUCAACAACAGCACUUCAACAACAUGCCUAUACAUUUUGCAUUUAGUCUGUUUAAAAUGAAAAUGUAUUUAUUUGUAUUUUUUAUUAAAUAAUAUUGACAUUAAAAAUGCCUUAUUUGGCUAUACAGUAAUUCUACAGUGUCUUUGAAUUCACAUUUAGAAACACAAGUUUGGCCAGUCUUUGGUUUGAGGAUCAUGCAGUGAGCUGUACAUGCCUACACUGUAGUUUGAUCAUUAAGCCCAGCAGAUGCUUUUAUAUUCCCAUGCCCUAAUCACAGUCAACACAAAUCUAUGUUCUAACAAAAAUAUAAUGGAAUAAAACCGAAUAAAUUAGAAAAUUAUAGUUUCCCAAAAGAAAAAAGUUACAACUGCAUAUAGGCCUACCUGAUGAUAUGCGGCUGCAGUGUUAACCUUUUUCUU